Molecule: ribosomal RNA, 450 nt
Filed under: uncultured bacterium
Lineage: Bacteria
Description: partial 16S ribosomal RNA
Rfam family: Bacterial small subunit ribosomal RNA
Source: RNAcentral
GUGGGGAAUUUUGGACAAUGGGCGCAAGCCUGAUCCAGCAAUGCCGCGUGCAGGAAGAAGGCCUUCGGGUUGUAAACUGCUUUUGUACGGAACGAAACGGUCCGGGUUAAUACCCUGGGCUAAUGACGGUACCGUAAGAAUAAGCACCGGCUAACUACGUGCCAGCAGCCGCGGUAAUACGUAGGGUGCAAGCGUUAAUCGGAAUUACUGGGCGUAAAGCGUGCGCAGGCGGUUUUGUAAGACAGGCGUGAAAUCCCCGGGCUCAACCUGGGAAUUGCGAUUGUGACUGCAAGGCUGGAGUGCGGCAGAGGGGGAUGGAAUUCCGCGUGUAGCAGUGAAAUGCGUAGAUAUGCGGAGGAACACCGAUGGCGAAGGCAAUCCCCUGGGCCUGCACUGACGCUCAUGCACGAAAGCGUGGGGAGCAAACAGGAUUAGAUACCCCUGUAGUCC